UAAGUGUGGUUUGCCAAUGUGUCAUGAU
RNAcentral lists this small RNA (28 nucleotides) under Bombyx mori (domestic silkworm). RNAcentral describes it as "piRNA piR-bmo-1663835". The record is from RNAcentral. Lineage: Eukaryota; Metazoa; Arthropoda; Insecta; Lepidoptera; Bombycidae.